This is a long non-coding RNA of Eptesicus fuscus (big brown bat), 1274 nucleotides long. RefSeq lists it as uncharacterized. The transcript is spliced from 4 exons. The record is from RefSeq and is a predicted model, not a curated record. Lineage: Eukaryota; Metazoa; Chordata; Mammalia; Chiroptera; Vespertilionidae.
GCGACCGGGGAUCCCAUGUGAGUCAGCACCAGACACGCUUCCACUUCUCCUGGACCUGUUCGCUACCUACUCUCCCUAGAUUCUACAACUCCACCCCUUCUCCUGCACCUCAGCCAUGGGAAGGAAGUAAAUUGGAUAAAAGCACAACAAAAGCAGAGAGUGCUUGGCUCUUCUGAACGUGAUAUGGCUUUGACCACAGGGAGAAAAUGUCAAUCACUGGGUGAUUUUAAAGCAACUCAGCAAUGAUUAAAGCCACAAGAGAUCAGUGAGAGAGGAAGAAGAAUUAAGAACAGAGAAAAGAAAUUCAAAGAAUAAUAUGAAAAAUAGAUAAAAAUGGAACAGGGAGAGGAGGCAAGAGAAAUACAGAAAAUUCACAGUAGAAAGGAAAGGAAAGCAACUUAGAGGAAUGACUGUGUAGAAAACAAGUAAGAAUGAAGAAAGAGAAGCCAGUUGAAAUUGCAGAGACAAGCAAAAAUAAAACAAGAUCUCUGGCACCCACAAACCCCACUCUUGAAGAUGACCUACUGUGAAAUGGAUGUACCCCAGUCCUCCACCAACCAGCCCAUCAAGGAUCUCUACCAUUGCGUGAUCUCACCUAUAUGUGGAAUCUUAAAAAGUCAAACUCAUAAAAGCAGAGAAGAGAAUGGUGGUACCAAGGACUGAGGUUGGGAGAAAUGGGGUGCAAAGUUUCCAUUCUGCAAGCUGAGAAGUUCUGGAGAUUGGAUGAACAGCACCAUGACUGUAGUUAAUAAUGCUGUGCUGUGGACUUGAAAUGUGUUAAGACAGUAGAUCUUAAGUGUUCUUAUCACACAAAGAUUUUAACUAUGUGAGAUGAUGGAUCUGUCAGCUAGCUUGAUUGUAUCAAUCAACUCAUAGUGUACACAUCCAUCAAACAUUACACUGUACACCUUAAACAUAUGCAGUUUUUAUUUGGCAGGUAUUCAUCAAUAAGCUGGAGAAAUAAUUGCUAUCCUUUAUCUUCAAGCAAGGUGAAGCUGAUACUCUCCAGCUGAAGCCCUUCGUUCUGGCCUCAUUGUGAGGACUGUCUGUGUUCCUGUGAGGAACACAAGUUUUCUUGCCAGCUCAGUCUUAGUCAAGUCUUUGAAAAUGUUGUCUACGCCAUUUGGAAAAGGCAGAUUACAUUUAAACUGAGUUUUCCAAACUGCUGCUCGGGACUCAUUAGUGCUUCUCAAAAUCAUUUUAGUAGGUUUCCAACCAGCACUUUUUAAAUAAAUGAAAGCAGGCUAGAGAAAAUAUGAUAGGGCACUGAAGAA